Long non-coding RNA from Bombus huntii, 1661 nucleotides. RefSeq lists it as uncharacterized. NCBI's taxonomy places the organism in Eukaryota, Metazoa, Arthropoda, Insecta, Hymenoptera, Apidae. The record is from RefSeq and is a predicted model, not a curated record. The transcript is spliced from 2 exons.
AUGAAAAUUAUAUUAGCGUUAUGCAUCGAAGCGAUUGUUUCAGGGAAAUGAAAGAAAAUGAAGGAAUAUUUUUACGAAAUAUUUAAUGAUUGAUUUUACUACCUUUCGAUUUUCGAGUUAAAAUUCUCUUCUUCUUUUGCUUGUGAAUUUAACAACGAGUUUUAUCUCUCUUCUUUCUCUAUGCUCCUGCUGUUGCUUACAGACAGGCUUUGAAUUUUGAUAAACGUUUCAGGGGCUUGAAAUCAGGCGAUAAACGCAGCACAGCUCAUGCAUUUAAAUAUUGACGAUUACAAUAAUCCAGCAAUCUCGAACACGUACAAAUGGUCUGCGAACCCGUUAACAUUUCCAUGCAAAUCUCUUCGAAACGGGAACGAAUCUCCAACGCGAGUAAAUCUUCAUCAGACACGUUCGGAUACAAAUGGUAGUUGGUGCGAGUGACAAAAUCAAAAUCGAAACAGCUUACCGAAUAAAGUGGCAGGACUUUUUAGCUAAAAUGAUUAGAUGCAAUGUUAUUAUGAUUGUUAUUUACUUUAUUUAUUUUUAUAUUCGCUGGCUUGGAUAGAAUGCAGGACGACCCAAGUUAGAAGUUCAGAAAGAAUUGCAUGCGAUUGAGUUAAUUAAUUGGUUGUUCUGGGGUUGAUUAAUCGAUUUGCAAAUUAGUUGUAAAAAUUUCAAAUUUCAAAGUCCAAACUCUCUGACAAUUGAAACUGUUGUAUAGAGUUUCAGCAUUUUAAUGUACAUUCAGUAACUUGAAUAUUUUGUUGAUUGUACUGAACAAAGACUAUGACUGUGCUUAUGCAUUUAUGGGGAAGUUUAAAGAAGUAAAAAUGUAAAAAUGUACAGGGUCUAUGACAACCGUUGUGAUAGUCUUCAAAGGUUAAUUUGUAUUUAUAAGAAUAUGAAUUUCUAUAAAGAAACACGACUCAGUGACUUUGAGAAUGAUUAGAUUGACAGUUGGACGGCUUUAAAAAUGACUAGGCAAGUUACAAGGAUUAAUUAACAAAUUAACUAAUAAAAGUGUGAAUUUCCAUGAAGAUCCACAGUUCAGUGACUUAGAAAAUAAUUAGCCAAAUUACAAGGAUUAAUUGACAGAUUAAAAAAGAAAAAGGGAAUAUUACUCAUAAGAAUGUGAAUUUCCACAAAGAUCACACAGUUCAGUGACUGAAGAACGACUAGGUAAAUUAGGAAGAAUAAGGAACAAUUAAUAAAUUAAAAAGGAGAGAAAUAUUGCUCAUAAAAAUGUGAAUUUUCACAAAAAUCCACACAGUUCAGUGACUUGAAAAAUGACUAGGUAAAUUAAAAAGAAUAAGGAAUAAUUAACAAAUGAAAAAGUAGAGAAAUAUUGCUCAUAAAAAUCUGAAUUUCCAUAAAGAUCCACAGUUCAGUGACUUAAAAAAUAAUUAGGUAAAUUACAAGGAUUAAUUAACAGAUUAAAAAAGAAAAAGGGAAUAUUACUCAUAAGAAUGUGAAUUUCCACAAAGAUCUGCACACUUCAGUGACUUGAAAAAUGACUAGGUAAAUUAAAAAGAAUAAGGAAUAAUUAACAAAUGAAAAAGUAGAGGAAUAUUGCUCAUAAAAAUCUGAAUUUCCAUAAAGAUCCACAGUUCAGUGACUUAGAAAAUAAUUAGGUAAAUUACAAGGAUUAAUUCAGGAAUGAAAAA